AGCGAACGCUGGCGGCAGGCCUAACACAUGCAAGUCGAACGAACCUUUCGGGGUUAGUGGCGGACGGGUGAGUAACACGUGGGAACGUGCCUUUAGGUUCGGAAUAACUCAGGGAAACUUGUGCUAAUACCGAAUGUGCCCUUCGGGGGAAAGAUUUAUCGCCUUUAGAGCGGCCCGCGUCUGAUUAGCUAGUUGGUUGAGGUAAUGGCUCACCAAGGCGACGAUCAGUAGCUGGUCUGAGAGGAUGAUCAGCCACAUUGGGACUGAGACACGGCCCAAACUCCUACGGGAGGCAGCAGUGGGGAAUCUUGCGCAAUGGGCGAAAGCCUGACGCAGCCAUGCCGCGUGAAUGAUGAAGGUCUUAGGAUUGUAAAGUUCUUUCAGCGGGGACGAUAAUGACGGUACCCGGAGAAGAAGCCCCGGCUAACUUCGUG
Molecule: ribosomal RNA, 434 nt
Filed under: uncultured bacterium
Lineage: Bacteria
Description: partial 16S ribosomal RNA
Rfam family: Bacterial small subunit ribosomal RNA
Source: RNAcentral